GUCGUGCCAAGAAAAGCCACUAAGUAUAUUGUAUGUUGCCCGUACCGUAAACCGACACAGGUGGGUGGGAUGAGUAUUCUAAGGCGCGUGGAAGAACCCUGGUUAGGGAACUCUGCAAACUAGCACCGUAUCUUCGGUAUAAGGUGUGCCUACUUUGGUAUAUGGACUUGCUCCAAAAAGCUAGAGAGGUUGCAACAAAGAGUCCCUCCCGACUGUUUACCAAAAACACAGCACUUUGCUAACACGUAAGUGGAUGUAUAAGGUGUGACGCCUGCCCGGUGCUCGAAGGUUAACUGAUGAUGUCAGCGCAAGCGAA
RNAcentral lists this ribosomal RNA (316 nucleotides) under uncultured Arcobacter sp. Its description in RNAcentral is "bacterial LSU rRNA". It matches the Rfam family "Bacterial large subunit ribosomal RNA", at positions 1602 to 1903 of the family's 2925-position model. The record is from RNAcentral. Lineage: Bacteria; Pseudomonadati; Campylobacterota; Epsilonproteobacteria; Campylobacterales; Arcobacteraceae.